Molecule: ribosomal RNA, 457 nt
Filed under: uncultured bacterium
Lineage: Bacteria
Description: bacterial SSU rRNA
Rfam family: Bacterial small subunit ribosomal RNA
Source: RNAcentral
AUGAACGCUGGCGGCGUGCUUUAUGCAUGCAAGUCGCACGGUCUUUUUCGCAAGAUGAGGAUAGUGGCAGACGGGUGAGUAACACGUAAGUAACCUACCCUCAUGUGGGGGAUAAUCCGUCGAAAGGCGGACUAAUACCGCGUGUGGUCCAUUGCCGCGAGGUAGUGGACUAAAGCCGUAAGGCGCUUGAGGAGGGGCUUGCGGCCGAUUAGCUAGUUGGUGAGGUAACGGCCCACCAAGGCGAUGAUCGGUAGCUGGUUCGAGAGGACGGUCAGCCACAUUGGGACUGAGAUACGGCCCAGACUCCUACGGGAGGCAGCAGCAAGGAAUAUUGUGCAAUGGGCGAAAGCCUGACACAGCGACGCCGCGUGGGGGAUGAAGGCCUUCGGGUUGUAAACCCCUUUUCCCAGGGAAGAAAACUGACGGUACCUGGGGAAUAAGCUUCGGCCAACUACGU